AUAUGUAAACCUAUAAUCACCUUUCCGCUGUCUGAUUUCGGCGAUAGAAUCAAAAAUUCAUAUUCCCUAGACAACAUCUAAUUUCCCCAUUAAAAUUGAUGAGUUCCCCGUUCCAGAACAGCAAUAAAUGAACUGGUCUAUCAGGUGAAUUAUACACACGUGCCAAAACGAGGCGUGUCCAUAUAGACAUUUCAAUUUAAAAACCGAAUAUGGCGAUCGCUAACGAGCCAUUGUUCUGCGGCUUUAUGGGCAAUUAACAACAUUUUCCCCCGCUGCUGGUGCAACCGAAAAAUAAUAGUUGGUGACCCAAGAUGGAGAGGAAAACCCACCCAAAGAGCAAGACAAUGAACAUCCAAAAUAGAUCUCCACUGAGGCGAAACAAAAGCCAAUAACUUUAUAGAACCGCAACCAAAAAAUACAAAAAAAUACAAAACGCAAACUGUGAGAGCGCGGGAGGCGUUUUACAAAAAAAGCUUAAAAAUGAAGGAAAAAGUAAAGCAUUUAAAAGAAAUCAAGAGAUGUAGAUGACGAUGAUGAUGAUGGUCUGAGGUUGAGGCUGAAUCCGAAUCCGAAUCGGUAUCUGAACCCAACAGAAGCUUGCGGCAAUUGCGUUUCCUCUUUGGCCACACGUUCUGGACAAUUAAAGCCCCAGCCGAGCUCCGAAUCUGAAUCGAGCCAAGUUAAGACCGCGACCACGACCGAAAACCGAAAACAGAAAACCAAAAAACCGGAUUCCAAGCCGAGAAGGAGCGAAAAAGACGGCGAGAGCGACCACUGGCCACUGGCACUGGCUACAAGUGAACUGGUUUACAAAGAAAAGAAACAGAAAUGGAAGAAACAUGCGAAAAAUCCCGAUCUUUAAAACCGAACCCUUAAAUACCCUUGGCAAAAUAAGUCAAAAAUACGAUAGAUAGAUCAAACUAGAGUAGACUCUAGACUUGUUGAAGAAAAUACUAGAAUAAAUGAGAAGUUUGUAAACUAAAUUUCCUAAUAUUGAUCUCGCUUUAAAAUAUGUUUUUAAAACCUAACGAGAUGCUAAAAAAUUUUGCAAUAGGAAAGAUUGGUAGAAAUGUAACGUUAUUACCACUGAUUAAUAUUUUUAAAUAAUAUUAUAAAAAUGUUCUAUACCAUUUUCAAUCGAAGUACCCUUACCGAGAGCACACAUAAGAGACCCCCAGAAUUCCAAGCGAAGGUUUUUCGAGUCCGGCUCGAACCGUCCAACUCGAACUGAGCGCCACAGCAACAACAAUGGGGCAAGCGGGUGGUUCAGGAUGGUGGGGUAUGGGGGACGUACUCCACCGUGGACUGUGCGGCACCACACUGAGUUCAGUGGCAAUGACAGUGGCACAUGCAGUUGUAGUGGAAGCCGCUUGUCGGUCGACAGUCCACCAACCGCCAACGUUGUUGCGCUCUCUUUCGCGUUUCUCGCCCCGUCUCUUUCUGUUUGUGGAGCAGGUUUUGAGAUAUAUCUGCUCUCUUUCUCUCUCCUUCUCUGCCUGCGUACUCGUUAUAUUUUUGUACUCGCUGCCUUUUUGGCCAACGCAAAAAAUACCAAAAUAAAAAAAUAAUAAAAGUAAUUAGCUAGCCCUA
This is a long non-coding RNA of Drosophila sechellia, 1590 nucleotides long. RefSeq lists it as uncharacterized. NCBI's taxonomy places the organism in Eukaryota, Metazoa, Arthropoda, Insecta, Diptera, Drosophilidae. The transcript has 3 exons. The record is from RefSeq and is a predicted model, not a curated record.